AUUUGAACUUUGACAACUCUCAAAUAUAUUGUUCCUGCAAAGUUUCUAUAAGGAUCACAAGAACAGGCAGCUAUUGGAGGGCUUUAUAAAUGAGGGCCGAACCCUGGGGGUCUUUGGAUAUUAUCAGGAGAAAUAAACUAUCAGAUAAAAGCAAUGAGUAAAAACUAUGAAAUAGGGUUUCUUACAGGACUCAGUCGCUUAGUUCAUUUAACAGACCAAUAUUAGUAUGUUCUGUCCUCUCCCCAUACUCUCCUGCCCUUUCUCUCCUUCCAACUCCAUUCAAGAAUAGUGUUUUGGUAGUAUUUUAGUCUUAUGUCAAAUUUUUAUACAAGUUAACAAGGAAGUUCAAAAGCUAUGGGGAAGUAGAGCUACAUACAAAGGCAGCUCACUGAGGCAAUGGAAGCAGGGACACGUGACCUGGGAAGAAUACAUGGAUGCCAUCCAAACAUGCAGAGAUGGGAUGAGGAAAGCCAAGGCACAGAUGCAACUGAACUUGGUGAAGGAAUUGCUGGUCCUGGUUAGAAUCCUUAUACAGUGCGGAGGAGCACUUCAUGCCAUAGUGUAUCCAAACUGAUGGGACAUUGCUGAGAAUGGAGCUAAAACUCUUUGCAAGCAGACUGCAGCUAUACUAAGUGUUUCUCUUCUUGGGAGAAAAAGCUAUGCACCAGGUGCAAAAAAUGGAGAACAAAGUAUCUGUACCCUGAAGGCCCUGGGACAAAAAGAAUUCCAGCCUGCAAACUUCACCUCUUGCUGAAGAUAAAGACAAAAGUCUUAGAGAUUCUUACCAGUCUAUCCCAGAGCAAACUACUUUUCCACCACCAAAUCUGGAGGUUGGCCUGACUCUGAGCCUUCCAUCAGUGGUCUAACCCCACUGCUGUCUGUUUCCAGCUGGUGGCUAAAGUCUGAUACUUUAGAAAGUGGUAGGUGGGUAGGAGAAGUAAUCAAAGUACGUGUAGAAAGGAGAGAAGGAAUUCUUUCGUAGCCUGAAGGCAAUCAUGUGAAGUCCUCAGGACUGAUUGCAAGCUGUGAUUUGGAGUUUCUCCCACUGAAGGAUGCUUAUCGGUGAUUGGAUCUUGCCGUGCUUUUAUCAGUAAAAUUUUAAAAGCUCUCUACUCCCAGAUAUCCAUCCCAUGUGCUAAUACAUAUGCAAAAUACCCAAAUCACCUCAGGCUUUUUUUUUUUUUAAGUGAAUAUAUUGUGGUUCUUACAUCUCCCCCACUGCAGUUUGCAUGGCAGCCCAUAGGACAGCCUUGUGGUUCCCACCCAUUUAAAACCUCUGUAGUAUUUCCUCAGCCUCCCUUUAGGAGUGGGGACAAGGAAUGCAAUGCCAGCUUCUAGCAAUCACUAACUAAUGCCCUAUGCAGAGCUCACAUCUCUGUAUUUGCUUUCUAAAUAACUAUCAGAUACUAUUUGUUAGAGCACUUCACUAAGCAUUUAUUAAAUGUAAGCAAUAGUGUACCUGCAGAUAGACCUCCACCUUCGGGAGCAAGUUCAGGCUGUCCCCCAGGAAGGCGUUUGUGGUUAAUCACACAGGAUUCAGGAGGGUUUGGCAUGGCCUCUUGGGCAAUCUUAAGUAAUGAAGUUGACCUUUCUGCAUUGCCGUCUCUCUUACCUCAGCCCCAUUUCUUUAAGGCGUGUGCAAUACUUGCACUGCUCUAAUCCCACCUGGUCUAUCUGCAGGCGCAUCUGCACAAGUGGUGACUCUGCCUGCACACUGAGUCAGCCGAGUGAAAGCCUCCUCCGAGCUAGAAGCUGUUUAGACGUGUUGCUGAAGGCUGUGCCCAUUCUAAUGCUUUUCUCCACAGAGAAAAAAAACAUGCUGAGUUGCUGAAUUAACUGUUGUCGGGCUCCUCAAGCAUGAAAAUGACCAGUGUUCUCCAGCACACAAAGCUUUCAUGCCAAAGACAUUUCAGGUCUCACACUGCUCCUGUCCAGCAUCUAUGCGCCCAGUGCUUGCACUCAGCCCGCUUUCCUGCCUCACUCCCUCCCCAGUUCCCCUGGUCAGCCCAUAUGAG
Molecule: long non-coding RNA, 2015 nt
Filed under: Gallus gallus (chicken)
Lineage: Eukaryota; Metazoa; Chordata; Aves; Galliformes; Phasianidae
Description: lncRNA (ENSGALG00010006636.1)
Source: RNAcentral